UCUCCCGAAGUCCAAAGAGACAGUGUGAAACCAUAGAUAGAAUUUCCGAAGAAGUAUUUUUGACAGCUAUUCGCUGCAUCUUCCAUCAUUUCCAGAAUUCAACACUCAAACAACUCUGUAUAGCACGAGGAGUGCCAAGCCCAUUUACCUCUGCUGUCAAUGUACUACAAAACACAGCAGAAAAAAUGACAAACCAUGGUUGGCGCUUGACAUUGCCUAGGGAAGAGGAAAACCAGAGCAGAGCAGGCUGAAGUUCAGAAGAGUCAGCAUUACCAAGCAUGGAUAAUUCUUAAUGAAGGAGGGAAAUCAGUAGGAACAGUGCCAGGGGACAAAAAUAAUCGGGAUUCCCUGCCUGACCCUCUCAGCGAUGACCACACUAAAACAACGUUUCUGUGAACACUGUUCAAACUGAUCCCUCUCAGAAAACUGAACUAUGAAAUCUUGCCACUCCCACACAUCCAGCACUGUCACCUGCCUGACUUUUCAGGGAGGAACCUGACAGAAAACCAGCCACUCCAGAGUGGAUCAGGGGUGUUUCUAUGGGAAGGGCAUGGCUGGUGCCUCCUCUGCUGCUGAAGAUCUUAUGAAAAUCAAGAAGCUACUCUACUGAGUGAGGUUCCAGAAAACUCCAGUGAGCAAAUCAAGCACAACUUUGGACACAGUCACCAGAGGAGUUGUGGAAGCCCUUUACCCACCUGACCCUGUCCGAUACAAGGCUGACUGAGAUCCCUGGUGGAGCUCAAUUGUUCCGUGAUUUGGACUGCGGUACACGGGACUGUAGUAAGUUCUGCCUUCGUAGAUGGGAGUGAUGUGCAAGUCAGGAGAUACAGCUGAUCGUAACUCUUGUCCUAGCUGGCUGUGUUGACUAGCAUAUGAACUCCUCAGGCCUGAAACCAAGAAGAGGAAGAUACGU
This is a long non-coding RNA of Melopsittacus undulatus (budgerigar), 913 nucleotides long. RefSeq lists it as uncharacterized. The record is from RefSeq and is a predicted model, not a curated record. The transcript is spliced from 5 exons. Lineage: Eukaryota; Metazoa; Chordata; Aves; Psittaciformes; Psittaculidae.